This 478-nucleotide ribosomal RNA is filed under the name uncultured bacterium. RNAcentral describes it as "partial 16S ribosomal RNA". It matches the Rfam family "Bacterial small subunit ribosomal RNA", at positions 28 to 507 of the family's 1533-position model. The record is from RNAcentral.
GAUGAACGCUGGCGGCGUGCCUAACACAUGCAAGUCGAACGGAGUCCAGCCUUUAAGACCUUCGGGUCAAAGAGGGGAAGACUGAGUGGCGGACGGGUGAGUAACACGUGGGCAACCUGGCUCAUAGAGGGGGAUAACAGAGAGAAAUUUCUGCUAAUACCGCAUAAGCACACACUGCCGCAUGGCAGAGGGUGAAAAGAGAAUCGCUAUGAGAUGGACCCGCGUCUGAUUAGCCAGUUGGCAGGGUAAGAGCCUACCAAAGCGACGAUCAGUAGCCGAUCUGAGAGGAUGAACGGCCACAUUGGGACUGAGACACGGCCCAAACUCCUAAGGGAGGCAGCAGUGGGGGAUAUUGCACAAUGGGGGGAACCCUGAUGCAGCGACGCCGCGUGAGUGAAGAAGUAUUUCGGUAUGUAAAGCUCUAUCAGCAGGGAAGAUAAUGACAGUACCUGAAUAAGAAGCCCCGGCUAACUACGUG